Molecule: ribosomal RNA, 1361 nt
Filed under: Staphylococcus aureus
Lineage: Bacteria; Bacillati; Bacillota; Bacilli; Caryophanales; Staphylococcaceae
Description: bacterial LSU rRNA
Rfam family: Bacterial large subunit ribosomal RNA
Source: RNAcentral
UGAUGGGGAGAAGACAUUGUGUCUUCGAGUCGUUGAUUUCACACUGCCGAGAAAAGCCUCUAGAUAGAAAAUAGGUGCCCGUACCGCAAACCGACACAGGUAGUCAAGAUGAGAAUUCUAAGGUGAGCGAGCGAACUCUCGUUAAGGAACUCGGCAAAAUGACCCCGUAACUUCGGGAGAAGGGGUGCUCUUUAGGGUUAACGCCCAGAAGAGCCGCAGUGAAUAGGCCCAAGCGACUGUUUAUCAAAAACACAGGUCUCUGCUAAACCGUAAGGUGAUGUAUAGGGGCUGACGCCUGCCCGGUGCUGGAAGGUUAAGAGGAGUGGUUAGCUUCUGCGAAGCUACGAAUCGAAGCCCCAGUAAACGGCGGCCGUAACUAUAACGGUCCUAAGGUAGCGAAAUUCCUUGUCGGGUAAGUUCCGACCCGCACGAAAGGCGUAACGAUUUGGGCACUGUCUCAACGAGAGACUCGGUGAAAUCAUAGUACCUGUGAAGAUGCAGGUUACCCGCGACAGGACGGAAAGACCCCGUGGAGCUUUACUGUAGCCUGAUAUUGAAAUUCGGCACAGCUUGUACAGGAUAGGUAGGAGCCUUUGAAACGUGAGCGCUAGCUUACGUGGAGGCGCUGGUGGGAUACUACCCUAGCUGUGUUGGCUUUCUAACCCGCACCACUUAUCGUGGUGGGAGACAGUGUCAGGCGGGCAGUUUGACUGGGGCGGUCGCCUCCUAAAAGGUAACGGAGGCGCUCAAAGGUUCCCUCAGAAUGGUUGGAAAUCAUUCAUAGAGUGUAAAGGCAUAAGGGAGCUUGACUGCGAGACCUACAAGUCGAGCAGGGUCGAAAGACGGACUUAGUGAUCCGGUGGUUCCGCAUGGAAGGGCCAUCGCUCAACGGAUAAAAGCUACCCCGGGGAUAACAGGCUUAUCUCCCCCAAGAGUUCACAUCGACGGGGAGGUUUGGCACCUCGAUGUCGGCUCAUCGCAUCCUGGGGCUGUAGUCGGUCCCAAGGGUUGGGCUGUUCGCCCAUUAAAGCGGUACGCGAGCUGGGUUCAGAACGUCGUGAGACAGUUCGGUCCCUAUCCGUCGUGGGCGUAGGAAAUUUGAGAGGAGCUGUCCUUAGUACGAGAGGACCGGGAUGGACAUACCUCUGGUGUACCAGUUGUCGUGCCAACGGCAUAGCUGGGUAGCUAUGUGUGGACGGGAUAAGUGCUGAAAGCAUCUAAGCAUGAAGCCCCCCUCAAGAUGAGAUUUCCCAACUUCGGUUAUAAGAUCCCUCAAAGAUGAUGAGGUUAAUAGGUUCGAGGUGGAAGCAUGGUGACAUGUGGAGCUGACGAAUACUAAUCGAUCGAAGACUUAAUCAAAA